GGAACGUUGUAGACAGGUUGUCAGUCAGUCGAGGAAGGAGACACCGGAAGAGGAACGUUGUAGACAGGUUGUCAGUCAGUCGAGGAAGGAGACACAGAACAAACAUGAUAUCAGAAUAUGUGUUUAAUAGAGAGUAGUUUUACUGGUGCACACUAGUUUUGAUCAGAGCCCUUGGUCAAAAGUAGUGCACUAAAAGCAGUGCACUAAAAGUAGUGCACUCGUUUUGAUCAGAGCCCUUGGUCAAAAGUAGUGCACUAAAAGCAGUGCACUAAAAGUAGUGCACUAGUUUUGAUCAGAGCCCUUGGUCAAAAGUAGUGCACUAAAAGCAGUGCACUAAAAGUAGUGCACUAGUUUUGAUCAGAGCCCUUGGUCAAAAGUAGUGCACUAAAAGCAGUGCACUAAAAGUAGUGCACUAGUUUUGAUCAGAGCCCUUGGUCAAAAGUAGUGCACUAAAAGCAGUGCACUAAAAGUAGUGCACUAGUUUUGAUCAGAGCCCUUGUUCAAAAGUAGUGCACUAAAAGUAGUGCACUAGUUUUGAUCAGAGCCCUUGGUCAAAAGUAGUGCACUAAAAGCAGUGCACUAAAAGUAGUGCACUAGUUUUGAUCAGAGCCCUUGGUCAAAAGUAGUGCACUAAAAGCAGUGCACUAAAAGUAGUGCACUAGUUUUGAUCAGAGCCCUUGUUCAAAAGUAGUGCACUAAAAGUAGUGCACUAGUUUUGAUCAGAGCCCUUGGUCAAAAGUAGUGCACUAAAUGGGGGAAUGAAUAGGGUGCAAUUUGAGAUGCAGACAAGACUGUGAUGAAGUGUGUUAUUGAGUUUAUGCUUGAACUAAACUGAGUGGUGGUGAUGGAAAUACACUCAUGUAGAGAUGCCAAAGAGAAGAGGCUCUUCUCUAUCAUAUCUAUGUUGGCCAGUGCAGGCUUUUGUUCCAACCCAGCACUAAACAUUUGGUUUAAAUCAUGGCCCUCUGUAGGUGUCAGCCAAACGGCUGACCGGCUUCUCAGGGUUCACUGUCAGUUUCCACAGCCUCCUGUGUGUCAGGUAUAGCCAAUAGGAUGGUCAGUCUGUGCGAUGCUCUACUCUCAUAGGUCCACUUCCCUGUCUGUCUCUGGUCUGGGUGGGCAUUUUGAUCCCAUGGCAACAGCACUUUGCCAUGAUCAUGUGACUUUACAGAGAGACUAGCAGUUACUGUACACACCAACAACGUACACUUUAUGAUCAUGGAUCUCAAAUGAUCCAAAAUCAACCUCUCUCUCUCUCUCUCUCCCACUUAACUUUUCACCAUCUCUCUCUCUCUCCCACUUAACUUUUCACCAUCUCUCUCUCUCUCCCACUUAACUUUUCACCAUCUCUCUCUCUCUCUCCCACUAACUUUUCACCAUCUCUCUCUCUCUCCCACUUAACUUUUCACCAUCUCUCUCUCUCUCCCACUUAACUUUUCACCAUCUCUCUCUCUCUCUCCCACUUAACUUUUCACCAUCUCUCUCUCUCUCCCAAACUUUUCACCAUCUCUCUCUCCCCCCACUCUUAACUUUUCACCAUCUCCCUCUCUCUCCCACCACUUACCUUUCCUCGCUCUCCUUUUCCUUUCAUCUCCACCCCUCAACAUGCCCCCCACCACCACCACCUAUGGGUCUGCUGUUGCUGAUGAACAGAGUGAAAUGAGAAGGUGGGUGUAUUAAAACUGGUAAAGGACCAGGCCAAGUUAAAGAGUGAUUUAAGGAAGCUGGGGUGUAAAGUGAUGAUAUUGCGGUUCCCGGAACAGGAAGAGAAUCCUCAGGUGAGGGGUUUACAGAAUGUUGAAAGGAGAGUGAGGGAGGUACAGAACGGUGUAAAUAUAAUGUGGUAUGGUUACAUUACCGUGUAGGUAUUGGAUUAUGACUGCUGAAUGUCCCUUUUUUUGGGGGGUGUGGUUGGCGAAGCUGCUGUCGCCCCUGCAAUGCUCCUGUACCCCCCCCCAGCUCAAGCUCACCCCGUCGUUACCGCCCCCUAACACUUCCUCCCCACCGGACCACCCUCCGAUUCCCUCCUCAGACAGACCCAUCUACCCCCCGUGAAGGAGCGUAUUGGAGAAUAUUGAUGUCUAAAAUAAAGUGUAUAUAUAUAUAUAUAUAUAUAUAUAAGGUGGAUAUGUGAAGUGAAGAGCGUAUAGAUAUAUAUAAGGUGGGGGAGGUGUGGCAAAAUAAUGAUAUAUAAAAUAUAUAUAUAUAGUCGAUUUAACGUCGAUUUCUCCUUUGGAGGAUCUGGGAUGUAUUGGAUAAAAUGUGUUAAUAUUGUACAUUUAGAAUAAAAACAUUAUUUAAAACAAAGAAAAGCAAUUCAAAGUCAAGACAAAUGAACUGCUUGUAUUGUGAAGUCACUGUGAUAACUGACACGGUCUCUAACGAUGGUAUUUAACAAGACAAUGAAUACGAAAACAUCAACCACAUACCUUGUACACACACAAAAGGUGUGGUUCUGGAGCAGUUCUAUUGAGUUCUGUUGGAUUGAUCCCAUUGAGUUCUUUUGGAGCCCAUUGAGUUCUUUUGGAGCCCAUUGAGUUCUGUUGGAGCCCAUUGAGUUCUUUUGGAGCCCAUUGAGUUCUUUUGGAGCCCAUUGAGUUCUUUUGGAGCCCAUUGAGUUCUGCUGGAGCCCGUUGAGUUCUGUUGGAGCCCAUUGAGUUCUU
Molecule: long non-coding RNA, 2663 nt
Organism: Oncorhynchus tshawytscha (Chinook salmon)
Lineage: Eukaryota; Metazoa; Chordata; Actinopteri; Salmoniformes; Salmonidae
Source: Ensembl